RNA transcript from Helicoverpa armigera (cotton bollworm), 2596 nucleotides. RefSeq lists it as uncharacterized. The transcript is spliced from 7 exons. The record is from RefSeq and is a predicted model, not a curated record. NCBI's taxonomy places the organism in Eukaryota, Metazoa, Arthropoda, Insecta, Lepidoptera, Noctuidae.
CUCGCUGUCAGCCGCGUCAGUGUCAUCAGUGAGUGUGUGUCAGUGCGUCCGCGCGACAGGACGCGUGUAGUGCUCGCGCCGGAGCCGGCGACAGUCAGCGAGACACGAUGAGCGCGCGAGCGGCGGCCUGCGCGCUGCUGGCGCUGUGGCUGUGCGCGCGCGGCGGCGCCGAGCGGGCGCUGCUGGCGCCGGCCGCCUACGAGCUGGAGUCCGCGCUGGAGCUCAACGACGCGGCGCGCGCGGACCGGGAGGUGGGCUACCGCCUGCGCGCCACGCUGCACGUCGACACGCCCUGGGCGCAGCCGCCGCACUACCUGCUGCGGCUCCGGUUGGAGUCUCCCAAGCUGUACCUGAGAGGCAAGCAUGUGAACGCAGACUUCAUGCCGUACGACUCCGUGUGGGACGAGUACAGUGACUCCACGUUCUAUGCGCACUGGACGGACGGGCUCAUCCAGACGGCCUACCUGGACGCCAGCGACCUGCCUGAUGUGCUCAACUACAAGAAGGCACUGCUCAGUCUGUUUCAGAUCCAACAGUUGGAGGGAGAGCACAAUGAGACAGACGUGUCGGGCCCCUGUAUGGUUCAGUACGAGACCAUCUCUCCGCAGGUUUUCAGGAAGAUCAAGAUGCGGUGCUCGUGCGACGCGGGCGGCGUGAGCGCGCGGCGCGUGCUGCGCUACUCGCUGGAGCAGGGCCGGCUGCGCGAGCUGUACGCCGACGAGCUGCUGGCGCUGCCGCCCGCCGGCCUGGGCGUCAAGGCGCGCUCGUGGCACCGCCUGGCGGCCCCGCGCGCCAAGCCCGGGCCCCGCUCGGCCGGGCCCCAGGCCCCCGACCUGGCGGCGGCGCUGGCCGCGCUGCCCGCCUCGCUCGCGCCGCAGCCGCUGGCGCUGGCGUCGCCGCCCGCCGACGAUGACGUGGAGGAGCUGGGCGCGGCGCUGCGGGAAGAGCGACUCACUCGCCAGCGAGCAGCCCGGCGCCGGCGGCACCGCGCCCGCCGCCCGCGCGCUGCUGCGCCUGCUGCCCGCCGCGCGCCAAACUCCUCCGCUGCUCCGCCGCCGCCGCGCGACCAGCUGGCGCGCGGCCUGGCGCUGCUGCCGCGACGCCUGCCGCGCGCUGCGCCUGCUGGCGUCGGCAACCUGCGCCGCGCCGACUGCGCCGACCUGCUGCUGGAGCACGCCGAGCGCGCCGACGCGGCGUCACUGGCCGCCGUGACCGCUGGCGCGCCUGCCGCCCGCCGCGCUCACGUUCGCGCGGCUGGACCGGCUGAGCGCGCUGGCGCUGCGGGCGGGGCGCGCGCUGGAGCUGCGCGCGGCGGCGCUGGAGCUGGUGGUGGAUCGUCGCGCGGCAGUGCCCACGCCGCUGGCGAGCGUGGCGGCGGCGCUGCAGGCGGAGCGCGGCGCGGACGCGCCGAGCUGCGGCGCGUGCUGUGGCCGCGCGGAGGCGCUGGCGGCGGCGCCGGGCGCGAGGGCUGCGCGCGCUGCGCGGGCGGCUGGCGCCAGCGCUGCGCGGCUGGGACGCGCGGGCGGCGGGCGGCACGUCGGCGGUGCUGGCGCGGGCGCCGGGCUGGGGCGGCGCGGGCUGGCGCGCGGAGCUGCGCUCGGCGCAGGUGGCGCGGGCGGGGCUGCUGCGCCGCGGCACGGUGCGGCUGCUGUUCACCGACGACGACGACGCGGAUGAAAUGUUCGACGCUCUCACUGUGGAGGUGUGGACCAAAGGCUUGGAAGCAUUCAGCGGCGCCAGCAGUGAGGACGCGGACAGCGGCGCCGGCAGUGGGGACGCCGGCAGCGAGGACGCCGGCGAGGAGGCGGAGGGCGGGCUGGCGCUGUCGGUGGGCGGCGCGCGCAUGCGCGACGUGCAGCUGUUCCGCGGGCAGGCGGAGCUGCUGGGGCACGUGAGCCGGCGCGUCCGCGCCCACGCCGGCGCUGCGCGCGCUGCUGCCGCUGCACGAGCACGCCGCCGCGCUGCCGCUGGCGGCCGCGCCUGGGCGCGCGCACACGGGCGCGGCGGCGGCGCUGGCGCUGGACGCGGCGGCCACGGUGUCGCUGUGGUGGCGCAGCGCGCGCGCGGAGCUGGCGGUGCGGGCGGCGGGCGCGGGCGCGGCGCGGCUGGCGGUGCACACGCGCUGGGCGGCGCUGCGCGCGGCGCUGGGCGCGGCGCCGCGGCUGCGGCUGGGCGCGGACCUGGACUCUACUCGGGCGUGGCUGUGCGUGCGCGCGAGGCUCGGCGCCGCACGCGGGCGCGGUCGCGGGCGGGCGCGCGCGCGCGUGACGCGGCGGCGGCGCGGCGGCGGGCGGGCCGCACGCUGUCGCUGGGGCGCCGCAACGACGCCACGUGCCGCACGCUGCGCGAGCCGGACGACGCCGCCGAGCAGUAGCCGGCGCCGGCAGCCGCCGCAUCGCUACACCGAGCACCAAAGAUAGCUCCCCUUAGUCACUUAGAAGAUUGAUACCAACGAGACGCCAAGUACAUUUAUAUACGUAGUCGACUGCAUUUAUUCGAGAUCUGAACGACGAUCUAAGAACCUAUUUAUAUUUCUAUUUUUAUGAAGAAAAUUACUAUUUUUGAUUAAUGUUUAUUAAAAUAAUUAUGAAAUAUA